AUCUUCAGGGUUGGGUGAAAUUCCCUAUCGGCGGUAAAGUCCGCGAGCCUUUUGGCAUGAUCCGGUGAAAUUCCGGGACCGACGGUUAUAGUCCGGAUGGAAGAAGAU
RNAcentral lists this non-coding RNA (108 nucleotides) under uncultured Pseudoramibacter sp. RNAcentral describes it as "FMN riboswitch (RFN element)". It matches the Rfam family "FMN riboswitch aptamer (RFN element)". Rfam says of the family: The RFN element is a highly conserved domain that is found frequently in the 5'-untranslated regions of prokaryotic mRNAs that encode for flavin mononucleotide (FMN) biosynthesis and transport proteins. This element is a metabolite-dependent riboswitch that directly binds FMN in the absence of proteins. Lineage: Bacteria; Bacillati; Bacillota; Clostridia; Eubacteriales; Eubacteriaceae. The record is from RNAcentral.